This 323-nucleotide ribosomal RNA is filed under the name uncultured bacterium. Its description in RNAcentral is "bacterial SSU rRNA". It matches the Rfam family "Bacterial small subunit ribosomal RNA", at positions 28 to 352 of the family's 1533-position model. The record is from RNAcentral.
GACGAACGCUGGCGGCGUGCUUAACACAUGCAAGUCGAGCGGUAAGGCCCUUUCGGGGGUACACGAGCGGCGAACGGGUGAGUAACACGUGGGUGACCUGCCCUCAGCUCUGGGAUAAGCCUGGGAAACCGGGUCUAAUACCGGAUAUGACUCCAUGACGCAUGUUGUGGGGUGGAAAGCCUUGUGCGGCUGAGGAUGGGCCCGCGGCCUAUCAGCUUGUUGGUGGGGUGAUGGCCUACCAAGGCGACGACGGGUAGCCGGCCUGAGAGGGCGACCGGCCACACUGGGACUGAGACACGGCCCAGACUCCUACGGGAGGCAGC